AAAAAGGUAGAGCAAACCUCUAUCUAGUCUCAUUAAGGCGAAAUCUUCAAAAUGCGGGGAAAUCUUAAAGACAAAUCUACCAAAUUAAUAUAGUAAUAUGAUUAAUGGAACAGGUAAUGACUCGUUGUAUGGUAAAAACGGUUUGUAUGAAGAAAUGAAAUAGAUAAUCCGCAGCUAAACAUCCGUAUAGAAAUAUUGGUAAACAGUUCAUCGACUAAAUGGAGGUUGGUUUAUAAUUAUAUAAUUAUAUAAUUAUUUGCUUAAGGUAUAGUCAGGCAUAAUAGAAAAAUUAUG
Stemphylium lycopersici is the source of this 294-nucleotide non-coding RNA. Lineage: Eukaryota; Fungi; Ascomycota; Dothideomycetes; Pleosporales; Pleosporaceae. The record is from Rfam.